GAUGAACGCUGGCGGCGUGCCUAAUACAUGCAAGUCGAGCGAACGGACGAGAAGCUUGCUUCUCUGAUGUUAGCGGCGGACGGGUGAGUAACACGUGGAUAACCUACCUAUAAGACUGGGAUAACUUCGGGAAACCGGAGCUAAUACCGGAUGAUAUUUUGAACCGCAUGGUUCAAAAGUGAAAGACGGUCUUGCUGUCACUUAUAGAUGGAUCCGCGCUGCAUUAGCUAGUUGGUAAGGUAACGGCUUACCAAGGCAACGAUGCAUAGCCGACCUGAGAGGGUGAUCGGCCACACUGGAACUGAGACACGGUCCAGACUCCUGCGGGAGGCAGCAGUAGGGAAUCUUACGCAAUGGGCGAAAGCCUGACGGAGCAACGCCGCGUGAGUGAUGAAGGUCUUCGGAUCGUAAAACUCUGUUAUUAGGGAAGAACAUAUGUGUAAGUAACUGUGCACAUCUUGACGGUACCUAAUCAGAAAGCCACGGCUAACUACGUG
Molecule: ribosomal RNA, 497 nt
Filed under: uncultured bacterium
Lineage: Bacteria
Description: partial 16S ribosomal RNA
Rfam family: Bacterial small subunit ribosomal RNA
Source: RNAcentral